UACGUAGGGGGCAAGCGUUGUCCGGAAUCAUUGGGCGUAAAGAGCGCGUAGGCGGUCCGGUAAGUCCGCUCUGAAAGUCCGGGGGCUCAACCCCGGGAGGCGGGCGGAUACUGUCGGGCUAGAGUCCGGAAGAGGCGAGUGGAAUUCCUGGUGUAGCGGUGAAAUGCGCAGAUAUCAGGAGGAACACCGAUGGCGAAGGCAGCCAUCUGGACCGACACUGACGCUGAGGCGCGAAAGCGUGGGGAGCAAACAGG
RNAcentral lists this ribosomal RNA (254 nucleotides) under uncultured bacterium. Its description in RNAcentral is "partial 16S ribosomal RNA". It matches the Rfam family "Bacterial small subunit ribosomal RNA", at positions 524 to 776 of the family's 1533-position model. The record is from RNAcentral.